UACGUAGGGUGCGAGCGUUGUCCGGAAUUACUGGGCGUAAAGAGCUCGUAGGUGGUUUGUCGCGUCGUCUGUGAAAUUCCGGGGCUUAACUUCGGGCGUGCAGGCGAUACGGGCAUAACUUGAGUGCUGUAGGGGAGACUGGAAUUCCUGGUGUAGCGGUGGAAUGCGCAGAUAUCAGGAGGAACACCGAUGGCGAAGGCAGGUCUCUGGGCAGUAACUGACGCUGAGGAGCGAAAGCAUGGGGAGCGAACAGGAUUAGACCUACCCGUACGUC
This 274-nucleotide ribosomal RNA is filed under the name uncultured bacterium. RNAcentral's name for it is "partial 16S ribosomal RNA". It matches the Rfam family "Bacterial small subunit ribosomal RNA", at positions 524 to 795 of the family's 1533-position model. The record is from RNAcentral.